GUAGGAAUCGAACCUACACCUAAGAGAUCAAAACUUCUCCGUAAUUCC
This 48-nucleotide transfer RNA is filed under the name Dendropsophus parviceps (Sarayacu treefrog). RNAcentral's name for it is "partial tRNA-Gln". The record is from RNAcentral. Lineage: Eukaryota; Metazoa; Chordata; Amphibia; Anura; Hylidae.